RNAcentral lists this transfer RNA (63 nucleotides) under Phrynocephalus theobaldi orientalis. RNAcentral describes it as "tRNA-Pro". Lineage: Eukaryota; Metazoa; Chordata; Lepidosauria; Squamata; Agamidae. The record is from RNAcentral.
CAGAAGGUAAUUUAAUUAAAAUGCUGGUUUUGGGGAUCAGUUUUGGGUUUUACCCUCUUUUGA